This 549-nucleotide small RNA is filed under the name Penicillium citrinum. RNAcentral's name for it is "eukaryotic LSU rRNA". The stretch from base 187 to 340 matches the Rfam family "5.8S ribosomal RNA". Lineage: Eukaryota; Fungi; Ascomycota; Eurotiomycetes; Eurotiales; Aspergillaceae. The record is from RNAcentral.
AAGUCGUAACAAGGUUUCCGUAGGUGAACCUGCGGAAGGAUCAUUACCGAGUGCGGGCCCCUCGGGGCCCAACCUCCCACCCGUGUUGCCCGAACCUAUGUUGCCUCGGCGGGCCCCGCGCCCGCCGACGGCCCCCCUGAACGCUGUCUGAAGUUGCAGUCUGAGACCUAUAACGAAAUUAGUUAAAACUUUCAACAACGGAUCUCUUGGUUCCGGCAUCGAUGAAGAACGCAGCGAAAUGCGAUAACUAAUGUGAAUUGCAGAAUUCAGUGAAUCAUCGAGUCUUUGAACGCACAUUGCGCCCUCUGGUAUUCCGGAGGGCAUGCCUGUCCGAGCGUCAUUGCUGCCCUCAAGCCCGGCUUGUGUGUUGGGCCCCGUCCCCCCCGCCGGGGGGACGGGCCCGAAAGGCAGCGGCGGCACCGCGUCCGGUCCUCGAGCGUAUGGGGCUUCGUCACCCGCUCUAGUAGGCCCGGCCGGCGCCAGCCGACCCCCAACCUUUAAUUAUCUCAGGUUGACCUCGGAUCAGGUAGGGAUACCCGCUGAACUUAA